This is a long non-coding RNA of Silurus meridionalis, 510 nucleotides long. RefSeq lists it as uncharacterized. Lineage: Eukaryota; Metazoa; Chordata; Actinopteri; Siluriformes; Siluridae. The transcript has 3 exons. The record is from RefSeq and is a predicted model, not a curated record.
CGCAUAGAUUUUGGAACAUCAAGUGAGCAGGGUGAUGGGACAUCAACAGAAGAAUAUGACGCUGACUCAAGUGCAUCAACUGUGAUAUUAGAUGCCUCUCCUGCUAGAAGCAGCACACCAGAAAGGGUAACCGCCAAACUGCAGAAUCUUUCUGACAGAAUCGAUGAAAACAGAUCUACAGACCAGGAUAGCCAACAGGCUCAAGCAAGGCACUACAGAACCCUUCAGGAAGUGUACAAGAGACCGAAGCCGAAUAAAGACGCAGUUGCCCAACUGCUCGACUUGGAAUUUGAGGCAAGAAGAGCAUUCAUCGAUUCGGACACACUCAAGGACCAGGACAGGCCUGCCAAGAUCAUUGAAGCGUAUCCAUGCUUUAAAGACCUUAACCAUGUUCUCGGUGAACUUUGCAGGAUUGUCAGCAAAGACAACACUGCUUACAUUAAGGAGGUGAAGGAGCGCUGGGACACCUUUCAGAGCCAAGCGAUCUUUUACGGUAUUAUGAAAAAGGUG